This 468-nucleotide ribosomal RNA is filed under the name uncultured bacterium. Its description in RNAcentral is "partial 16S ribosomal RNA". It matches the Rfam family "Bacterial small subunit ribosomal RNA", at positions 28 to 507 of the family's 1533-position model. The record is from RNAcentral.
GACGAACGCUGGCGGCGUGCUUAACACAUGCAAGUCGAACGGAAAGGCCCUGCUUUUGUGGGGUGCUCGAGUGGCGAACGGGUGAGUAACACGUGAGUAACCUGUCCUUGACUUUGGGAUAACUUCAGGAAACUGGGGCUAAUACCGGAUAGGAGCUCCUGCUGCAUGGUGGGGGUUGGAAAGUUUCGGCGGUUGGGGAUGGACUCGCGGCUUAUCAGCUUGUUGGUGGGGUAGUGGCUUACCAAGGCUUUGACGGGUAGCCGGCCUGAGAGGGUGACCGGCCACAUUGGGCCUGAGAUACGGCCCAGACUCCAACGGGACGCAACAGUGGAGAGUAUUGCACAGUGGGCGGAAGCGUGAUGCGGCAACGCCGCGUGCGGGAUGACGGGCUUCGGGUUGUAAACCGAUUUCGCCUGUGACGAAGCGUGAGUGACGGUAAUGGGUAAAGAAGCACCGGCUAACUACGUG